This 443-nucleotide ribosomal RNA is filed under the name uncultured bacterium. RNAcentral describes it as "partial 16S ribosomal RNA". It matches the Rfam family "Bacterial small subunit ribosomal RNA", at positions 338 to 795 of the family's 1533-position model. The record is from RNAcentral.
CCUACGGGGUGCAGCAGUGGGGAAUAUUGGGCAAUGGGCGCAAGCCUGACCCAGCAACGCCGCGUGAAGGAAGAAGGCUUUCGGGUUGUAAACUUCUUUUCUCAGGGACGAAGCAAGUGACGGUACCUGAGGAAUAAGCCACGGCUAACUACGUGCCAGCAGCCGCGGUAAUACGUAGGUGGCAAGCGUUAUCCGGAUUUACUGGGUGUAAAGGGCGUGUAGGCGGGACUGCAAGUCAGAUGUGAAAACCACGGGCUCAACCUGUGGCCUGCAUUUGAAACUGUAGUUCUUGAGUACUGGAGAGGCAGACGGAAUUCCUAGUGUAGCGGUGAAAUGCGGAGAUAUUAGGAGGAACACCAGUGGCGAAGGCGGCUUACUGGACUGUAACUGACGUUGAGGCUCGAAAGCGUGGGGAGCAAACAGGAUUAGAUACCCCAGUAGUC